Molecule: ribosomal RNA, 465 nt
Filed under: Vreelandella stevensii
Lineage: Bacteria; Pseudomonadati; Pseudomonadota; Gammaproteobacteria; Oceanospirillales; Halomonadaceae
Description: partial 16S ribosomal RNA
Rfam family: Bacterial small subunit ribosomal RNA
Source: RNAcentral
CCUACGGGGGGCAGCAGUGGGGAAUAUUGGACAAUGGGGGGAACCCUGAUCCAGCCAUGCCGCGUGUGUGAAGAAGGCCCUCGGGUUGUAAAGCACUUUCAGUGAGGAAGAACGCCUGGUGGUUAAUACCCAUCAGGAAAGACAUCACUCACAGAAGAAGCACCGGCUAACUCCGUGCCAGCAGCCGCGGUAAUACGGAGGGUGCGAGCGUUAAUCGGAAUUACUGGGCGUAAAGCGCGCGUAGGUGGCUUGAUAAGCCGGUUGUGAAAGCCCCGGGCUCAACCUGGGAACGGCAUCCGGAACUGUCAAGCUAGAGUGCAGGAGAGGAAAGUAGAAUUCCCGGUGUAGCGGUGAAAUGCGUAGAGAUCGGGAGGAAUACCAGUGGCGAAGGCGGCCUUCUGGACUGACACUGACACUGAGGUGCGAAAGCGUGGGUAGCAAACAGGAUUAGAUACCCCAGUAGUC